RNAcentral lists this ribosomal RNA (595 nucleotides) under Neolebias powelli. Its description in RNAcentral is "partial 16S large subunit ribosomal RNA". It matches the Rfam family "Bacterial large subunit ribosomal RNA", at positions 1809 to 2609 of the family's 2925-position model. The record is from RNAcentral. Lineage: Eukaryota; Metazoa; Chordata; Actinopteri; Characiformes; Distichodontidae.
AAAAACAUCGCCUCCCGCAAAGAACAAAGUAUAGGAGGUCCUGCCUGCCCAGUGAACAAGUUUUAAACGGCCGCGGUAUCUUGACCGUGCAAAGGUAGCGCAAUCACUUGUCUUUUAAAUGAAGACCUGUAUGAAUGGUGGAACGAGGGCUUAACUGUCUCCCUCCUUAAGUCAGUGAAAUUGAUCUGCCCGUGCAGAAGCGGACAUAAAAAUACAAGACGAGAAGACCCUUUGGAGCUUAAGAUUUAAGACCAACUAUGUCAAAAAUUUGUUAUAAAACAUUUUAAACCUAAUAGAAAAUUGAUCCAAAUCUUCGGUUGGGGCGACCACGGGGGAAAACAAAGCCCCCACGUGGAGUGGGAAAAUCAUCCUAAAACCAAGAGAGACAUCUCCAAGACACAAAACAUUUGACCUUACAGAUCCGGUUUACACCGAUCAACGAACCAAGUUACCCUAGGGAUAACAGCGCAAUCCCCUCCCAGAGUCCAUAUCGACAAGGGGGUUUACGACCUCGAUGUUGGAUCAGGACAUCCUAAUGGUGCAGCCGCUAUUAAGGGUUCGUUUGUUCAACGAUUAAAGUCCUACGUGAUCUGAG